AAGUGCUUACAGCUCUUUUUGAAUUUGUCUAGUAAGUUUUCCCGUCCUAACUGGAAAGCUCCC
Molecule: small nuclear RNA, 63 nt
Filed under: Rhinolophus ferrumequinum (greater horseshoe bat)
Lineage: Eukaryota; Metazoa; Chordata; Mammalia; Chiroptera; Rhinolophidae
Description: U7 small nuclear RNA (ENSRFEG00010003524.1)
Rfam family: U7 small nuclear RNA
About the family: Animal histone pre-mRNAs are spliced by a different mechanism than nuclear pre-mRNAs and self-splicing introns. This processing involves the U7 snRNP, which contains only one RNA species: U7. The 5' end of U7 RNA is thought to base-pair to a conserved spacer element downstream of the cleavage site in histone pre-mRNA.
Source: Rfam by way of RNAcentral